GACGAACGCUGGCGGCGUGCCUAAUACAUGCAAGUAGAACGCUGAAGAGAGGAGCUUACUCUUCUUGGAUGAGUUGCGAACGGGUGAGUAACGCGUAGGUAACCUGCCUUGUAGCGGGGGAUAACUAUUGGAAACGAUAGCUAAUACCGCAUAACAAUGGAUGACACAUGUCAUUUAUUUGAAAGGGGCAAUUGCUCCACUACAAGAUGGACCUGCGUUGUAUUAGCUAGUAGGUGAGGUAAUGGCUCACCUAAGCGACGAUACAUACCCGACCUGAGAGGGGGAGCGGCAAACCUGGGAUUGAGACCCGGCCCAAAACCCUACGGGAGGAAGAAGGAGGGAAUCUUUGGCAAAGGGGGCAAAACUGAACGAGACACGCUGCGUGAGAGAAUGAGGUUUUCGGAUCGUAAAACUCUGUUGUAAGUCAAGAACGGGAGUGAGAGUGGAAAGUUCACACUGUGACGGUAGCUUACCAGAAAGCGACGGCUAACUACGUG
Molecule: ribosomal RNA, 497 nt
Filed under: uncultured bacterium
Lineage: Bacteria
Description: partial 16S ribosomal RNA
Rfam family: Bacterial small subunit ribosomal RNA
Source: RNAcentral